Molecule: long non-coding RNA, 230 nt
Filed under: Trifolium pratense (red clover)
Lineage: Eukaryota; Viridiplantae; Streptophyta; Magnoliopsida; Fabales; Fabaceae
Description: long non-coding RNA (TPRA_LNC005934)
Source: RNAcentral
CUUUUUGGUGAGGAGUUUAGCUUAGACUACUCCUUAGAUAUAUUUUAUAUAUCUUUUUGAUGGGUUGUAUAGAAUUGCUCUGAUUAGGUUUUAUCGGGUCGGGUUAUUCGAUUGAAUUGUAUUAAGCCCGUGAUGGCAUAUUUAACUUUGCUAAUCCUAUCUUUUGUUGUAAACAUAAUAUCCUUUGUUGAUAUGGCCUAGAGCCUAGGGAUAUUAUGUGAACAAUUAUG